GUUGAAGGUCGUACAAAAUAUUGUUAUUUUCUAGGUGGUCCAUCAUACUACUGGCUAUUAUGUGUUCCAUGAUCUUACAAAGUAUACAUGUGAGAGAUAUGGGUCUAUAAUUUAUUGCGUUGUGUUUAUCACCUUUUUUAAAAACAGGACAGACAUUUGCAUGUUUCCAAUCUUUUGGGAUUUUUCCUGUGUCGAGUGAUUUUUGGAAGAUGUAGGUGAUUGCAGUUGAAAUGUCGCUACUAAGUUCUUUAAGUACUGUUCCGCAAAUUUGAUCUGGACCAGUUGCUUUAUUAGGAUUGAUCUUGUCCAGUAAUUUUAUGACACCCUUCUUGGAGAUGGUGAUCUUGGUCAUUUUUGGAUAGUUCGAUUUCCCUUUAUCCGGAAUAGGUUCACUUGUUGUUUCUUCGUAAAAUGCUUUUUGAAACUGACUAUUUAGGAUGUUAGUUUUGUCAGAUGUAUUGUCAGUAAGUUUACCAUCUUUUCUAAGUGCAGCAAUGCCUGUAUUGUCAUUUUUCAUACUUUUUAUGUAUGUAAACAAGUUCUUAGGUUGUUUUUUUCUGAUGUUGUCAUCUGGUUCAUCUACUGGCAGGUCAAAUAUCAUUUUUUCAAUGUAAUUCCAGUAGGCAUUACGCAUUUCUUUUUGUAAUGUUCUUUUUAAGUAUUUGUAUUUUUUCAUUUGCUCUGGACUGUUUUUGCUCUUUUUAUGUAGUCUUUUAACUUUGUUUAUCAUGAUUUUUAAUGUUUU
RNAcentral lists this long non-coding RNA (745 nucleotides) under Mytilus galloprovincialis (Mediterranean mussel). Lineage: Eukaryota; Metazoa; Mollusca; Bivalvia; Mytilida; Mytilidae. The record is from RNAcentral.